Molecule: long non-coding RNA, 207 nt
Filed under: Physcomitrium patens
Lineage: Eukaryota; Viridiplantae; Streptophyta; Bryopsida; Funariales; Funariaceae
Description: long non-coding RNA (PPAT_LNC013589)
Source: RNAcentral
UCUCUUGGAGCUCUAGCUCACCUCUCUGGUGUUGUUCUUGUAUUCAUCUGAUUAAUCUAGUUCUUGCCAGUUCUUCUUCUUGUUAGAUCUUGAGUCUGUAUUUCUGUGUCCGUGACACAUGGACGGUAUGGAUCAUGACCAUCAUAACCAUGUCCAACCAUUGGUGUGGACAAUGGAUAAGCAUCAAUCAUAUUAAAUCUUUGCAAG